Molecule: ribosomal RNA, 529 nt
Filed under: uncultured bacterium
Lineage: Bacteria
Description: partial 16S ribosomal RNA
Rfam family: Bacterial small subunit ribosomal RNA
Source: RNAcentral
UGGGGAAUAUUGCACAAUGGGCGAAAGCCUGAUGCAGCAACGCCGCGUGAGUGAUGAAGGUCUUCGGAUUGUAAAGCUCUGUCUUUUGGGACGAUAAUGACGGUACCAAAGGAGGAAGCCACGGCUAACUACGUGCCAGCAGCCGCGGUAAUACGUAGGUGGCGAGCGUUGUCCGGAUUUACUGGGCGUAAAGGGUGCGUAGGCGGAUGUUUAAGUGAGAUGUGAAAUACCCGGGCUUAACUUGGGUGCUGCAUUUCAAACUGGAUAUCUAGAGUGCAGGAGAGGAGAAUGGAAUUCCUAGUGUAGCGGUGAAAUGCGUAGAGAUUAGGAAGAACACCAGUGGCGAAGGCGAUUCUCUGGACUGUAACUGACGCUGAGGCACGAAAGCGUGGGUAGCAAACAGGAUUAGAUACCCUGGUAGUCCACGCCGUAAACGAUGAGUACUAGGUGUAGGGGGUAUCGACCCCUUCUGUGCCGUAGUAAACACAUUAAGUACUCCGCCUGGGAAGUACGAUCGCAAGAUUAAAAC